This is a long non-coding RNA of Arabidopsis lyrata subsp. lyrata, 1617 nucleotides long. RefSeq lists it as uncharacterized. NCBI's taxonomy places the organism in Eukaryota, Viridiplantae, Streptophyta, Magnoliopsida, Brassicales, Brassicaceae. The transcript has 6 exons. The record is from RefSeq and is a predicted model, not a curated record.
UUCUAGUGAUUCCUCUCAUGGAAGAACACCAUUGGCGAAGUAAAUUGUAGUUGACGAAUUGUAAUUAUAAACUUUGUGAUGGAUCAAGAUGUUUAAUUGGUUAAACUAUGAAAUAAUAAAAUGGACAUCUGUCCUUCAAUUAAACCAAACCAAUUUUAAACUAAACGAUUUUAAUUUUUGAUGGACUCGGUUCACCGUGAACCAAAAGAAUCAGUUUAGAAAUUGGUUUGGUAAAUGGUUUAAUUGAAGAAACACUCUUCAACGGUCAAAUCAAAACACAAUCGAAAUAUAUAAAUCGCGUAAGCCUUGGACACCAAGAGUCUAUUUAAAUUCACAAAAAUAUCAGUUUGGAUAUCGAAAUUUGACCGUUGGGCUCUCAGAGGCUCUACCAAAUUCUAACAUCUCCGACUCCGACGAAGAAGUUGAGAAGCAGUGGAAAAGUUAGAUCGUGGAGCCACCGUUGUCGCCGAUCUCAGCGAAGUCGUUGGAGAAAGAUCUAGUGGAGUAGGAGGCGAUGUUGGAGAAAACAGACGAUUUUCUGAAGGAGAAUGGAUGAUAUCCUGAGGAAGAAGAAGAUGAAGAAGGAGAAAGUCUCGACCGUGUUCGACGGAGAUGCUAGAUUGGCGGAGGAGCCGAAUUACAAAGAAUUCCACGGUCAAUUCGCGGGGAGUGAAAUUGCCGAUUUUCGAAGAGGAUAUCAGCAAUUGAAGAUUCGAUUGAUUACAAAAUCGAGGAUUUGAAGUAAAACCCUGAAAGUGGAAGCUUUUGUUUCUCUGAUUCUGGAAAGUUUCCAGUAUCCAUCCUCUUGAUUAAAUUCGUAUCCUUGCUUGUUUAGGGACGCUAAUUGUAUAUCUAAGAAGAUUCUUGGAUAUAGUUAUGGUGAUGCUUCUUAAAUCCGAAAGAGAAGCAGACGGUCUCUUUGGAAAGUUGUGAUGUAGUGUCUCCCUAAUCAGGUUUCUUUUCUGGAUUGUUGUCUUAGUAGGAACAAGCUGGCCACAAUUCUUGAAGAGGAAGAAGCGAGAUGGAGAAUGAACACCAGUAAGAUACUAUUUUCAUUGGUCAAUGGAGAAACAUUAUAACGGAGAACAGCCGUUGCAGCAUACAUAAUCUUGAACCUCUUUCGUCUAUAUACCUUUAGUUGGAUAAGCUGAAAGGAUACUCAAGCCAAUCAUAAGGAUGUUAUAUGUAGAGACAGUAUCAACAUAAUCAGUAGAUUUAAAUGCGUCUCAAACACAUGACCCUUUUCUCAUUCGCCAGAAAACAAUACCUUUCUUUGUAUUACACGGAGAAGCAGAUACAGUGACGGAUCCAGAGAUAAGCAAAGCCCAGUACGAGAAAGCUAGCACGUUUUGGUCUCUUUCUUUUAAUGGUCCUCAGUGGUUUGGAGUGUUUGGUGUCUGAUUUGGCUGCUUGAGCGUUGAUUGAAGAUUGCAACAUUCUCUUGUGGCUAUUUGUGGUUUCAGGGGUUUUACUCGUUUCCUAUUUUUGUAUACCUACUUCACUUUAGUUUUGUAAAGUGUUUAUAAUUUACCCUUCUGCUGUAGGAUCAGUCUAGCAGUGGUAACCAAGGACCAAGGCAAAGGGCUGCUGCUUUUGCUGCCUUGACUUCUCCAUUUA